Molecule: long non-coding RNA, 1383 nt
Filed under: Junco hyemalis (dark-eyed junco)
Lineage: Eukaryota; Metazoa; Chordata; Aves; Passeriformes; Passerellidae
Description: lncRNA (ENSJHYG00000013103.1)
Source: RNAcentral
GCCAGAGUGAUCUCUGCAUGUCUGUGGGUGUCUGAGGGUGAACCUAAAGGCCCUGCCAGUGUCCUGUUAGGUAAAUCUUCAUCACAAGAUGCCUUUCACACCUCUGAUCAGCUGGGAGAAUUCUUUUAUUAAGUCUAAUUACUACAAGUGUUCCACACCAAAGCUCCAUAAUCCCAUUAAUUCAAUAAAAUGCCUUUCUGUAUGAGCACAGAUCUAUUCACAGUCACUAUAAAGAAGCAGAGAAGGUAUUAUAAAACUAUAGAUAAAAAAGGAUAAAAGGCACAGAGAAAGUCACUUUGCCUGCAGUUAGAUUAUUUUGAAAGUCUAGAAAGAGAUUUCAGGGGGCCUAGACGUUGAGAAAUGUGGGGAAUCUUGGAUUCUUUUGAAGAAUCUUCAAUCCUUUUGAUUUUGAUGCCAAUGUGUAUUUUCUUCUUAUUGGUCAUUAUUAUUUUAGGAGAAUGUUGGAGACCUGUUACAGCUGGAGUUGUGAGUUAUUGCAAGAUUAGAGCAACGUGCACAUUCUGGAUAUUUAAUGGGGAACCAAAAAGACAACUUAAAUUACAGGUCUUCUUGUAAUUUUAACACCAGCAUUUCUCUUGCAAGUAGAAUUGCAGGAUUGAUGUUCCCUGUCAGGAGGAAAGGCAUGUGCUGCCACUUCAGGGGACACAGCAGGGCUGGCAGAGCUCUGACCUCCCCUCCUGCCCUCAGCCUUUGGUUUCGCUGCUAACUCAAUUAAGCCCUGCCUAAUUGGGGUGCCCGAUGGAGGGAGUUUCUGCAGGGCCGGGUUUGUGACAGCACAAGGGUUUCCAGCAUUUGUGCCAAACUGAGGUUCCCCAUUUGCUGCUCCCAGAGCUCCCAGUCUGGGGUGCUGAGCUCAGCACAGCCCAGCGAGCAGAGCUGGGACAGGGGCACGAGGAGCUGGAGCUCAAUCAGUUUCUGCCUUCCCUUGAUGAAACCCACCCACACAGAAGCAGAACCAAUUUCCAUCCUGGGACUGAGAAGUGAUUGGGUUUUUGUGGUAAGUGGCCAAUUUCUGAGGAGGAAAAAAAAGUUUUUUCUCAAAAUUAUAUCAUUUUUUUUCCACCUGAAAACCAAACACGACUCAGGAGUUUUCAGUCUGUAUUCAACAGAUAUUUAACAGAUUAAUUUUAUAGAGAACUUGAGUGGGUAACAGUACCAUUUAACUACUUUUGAUGCAAUUUCUCUAGGAAUUAAGCUGUGCAAUCCUGGCUCUCCAAACUCACCUUGAGCCUGCCUGGGAGCUGAUCUCACCAUGACUAGCUGCAGGUAAGCCAGGAGUUGUUCUUGAGAGCCACAAGAUUAUAUUUUGCUAAUUUAUUUUACCCAAUUUUCUAACUGGGGAGAUGAAGUACAACAAAACUA